UCCUCCCUCAACUCCCUCUCUUAGCCGCUGCUCACCCAAAGCCUUUCCCCUUUUUGGCCACUAUUAUUCUCAUUUGUUCCCCGUUGAUCCUCACCUCUGAAUGCCCCCUUUUCGAUGACUCGUCCCUUCCCCCUUCUGUUUCCCUCUUCCCUCCCUCUUCCCUUUCCCCUCGCCGAACCAAUAGCAUAACCCCUCCCCCUUUCCCCUCUCCCCUCCUUGCCUUUCCCUCCCUUCACCGUCAAUCACCAACCACCCUCUCCUCCUCUCCAUUCGAUCUGUAACCACUCCACUUUUCUUCCUCCCCUCGCCUCACAUCUCACACUGCACCCACACACAACCCCU
This 342-nucleotide long non-coding RNA is filed under the name Gossypium raimondii (Peruvian cotton). Its description in RNAcentral is "long non-coding RNA (GRAI_LNC000430)". The record is from RNAcentral. Lineage: Eukaryota; Viridiplantae; Streptophyta; Magnoliopsida; Malvales; Malvaceae.